GGGAUUGUGGCUCAGUGGUAGAGCGCCUCACUUAGUGAGGCACUGGGUUCGAUCCUCAGCACCA
This 64-nucleotide transfer RNA is filed under the name Urocitellus parryii (Arctic ground squirrel). Its description in RNAcentral is "Spermophilus parryii (Arctic ground squirrel) tRNA". It matches the Rfam family "tRNA". From Rfam's summary of the family: Transfer RNA (tRNA) molecules are approximately 80 nucleotides in length. Their secondary structure includes four short double-helical elements and three loops (D, anti-codon, and T loops). Lineage: Eukaryota; Metazoa; Chordata; Mammalia; Rodentia; Sciuridae. The record is from Rfam by way of RNAcentral. RNAcentral also lists the same sequence under 2 other names.